RNAcentral lists this ribosomal RNA (461 nucleotides) under uncultured bacterium. RNAcentral's name for it is "partial 16S ribosomal RNA". It matches the Rfam family "Bacterial small subunit ribosomal RNA", at positions 29 to 507 of the family's 1533-position model. The record is from RNAcentral.
ACGAACGCUGGCGGCGUGCUUAACACAUGCAAGUCGAGCGGUAAGGCCUUUCGGGGUCCACGAGCGGCGAACGGGUGAGUAACACGUGGGUGAUCUGCCCUGCACUUCGGGAUAAGCCUGGGAAACUGGGUCUAAUACCGGAUAUGACCUCCUAUCGCAUGGUGGGUGGUGGAAAGAUUUAUCGGUGCAGGAUGGGCCCGCGGCCUAUCAGCUUGUUGGUGGGGUAAUGGCCUACCAAGGCGACGACGGGUAGCCGACCUGAGAGGGUGACCGGCCACACUGGGACUGAGACACGGCCCAGACUCCUACGGGAGGCAGCAGUGGGGAAUAUUGCACAAUGGGCGAAAGCCUGAUGCAGCGACGCCGCGUGAGGGAUGACGGCCUUCGGGUUGUAAACCUCUUUCAGCAGGGACGAAGCGCAAGUGACGGUACCUGCAGAAGAAGCACCGGCUAACUACGUG